UGCCAGCCGCCGCGGUAAUACGGAGGGUGCAAGCGUUGUUCGGAAUUAUUGGGCGUAAAGCGCGUGUAGGCGGUUCGUUAAGUCUGAUGUGAAAGCCCGGGGCUCAACCCCGGAAGUGCAUUGGAAACUGGCGAACUUGAGUACAGUUGAAGUAGGCGGAAUGUGUAAUGUAGCGGUGAAAUGCUUAGAUAUUACACAGAACACCGAUUGCGAAGGCAGCUUACUAAGCUGUUACUGACGCUGAUGCACGAAAGCGUGGGGAGCGAACAGGAUUAGAUA
RNAcentral lists this ribosomal RNA (279 nucleotides) under uncultured bacterium. Its description in RNAcentral is "partial 16S ribosomal RNA". It matches the Rfam family "Bacterial small subunit ribosomal RNA", at positions 506 to 784 of the family's 1533-position model. The record is from RNAcentral.